Molecule: ribosomal RNA, 301 nt
Filed under: uncultured bacterium
Lineage: Bacteria
Description: partial 16S ribosomal RNA
Rfam family: Bacterial small subunit ribosomal RNA
Source: RNAcentral
CAGUCGCCGCGGUAAUACAGAGGGUGCGAGCGUUAAUCGGAUUUACUGGGCGUAAAGCGUGCGUAGGCGGCUUCUUAAGUCGGAUGUGAAAUCCCUGAGCUUAACUUAGGAAUUGCAUUCGAUACUGGGAAGCUAGAGUAUGGGAGAGGAUGGUAGAAUUCCAGGUGUAGCGGUGAAAUGCGUAGAGAUCUGCAGGAAUACCGAUGGCGAAGGCAGCCAUCUGGCCUAAUACUGACGCUGAGGUACGAAAGCAUGGGGAGCAAACAGGAUUAGAUACCCGAGUAGUCCCUGUCUCUUAUAC